RNAcentral lists this long non-coding RNA (1501 nucleotides) under Homo sapiens (human). Its description in RNAcentral is "HSALNT0361617". The record is from RNAcentral. Lineage: Eukaryota; Metazoa; Chordata; Mammalia; Primates; Hominidae.
CACAACCUAAGAUACAAAUCAGGAGCUACUGAUGCAAAGAAUGGGGACCAGGAGGAAGAGUUUCUUCGAGACCUGGUGGUUGAAGAGCAGUGGAUCAUUCUUGGCUGUGGUGGGAGAGGUGCUGAACGUUGUUCACGCUGGCUAUGUCAUGAGUGGAAUCUAUGGCGUCAAGGCUAGAGCUGGAGGGAAUGGGCUCCCCAUUGAGGUGAUGGACUUCAUCCCUGGUGCUAUUCAAGCAGUGGCUGUGGGCUUCCAGUCAGGGAUGCAGUGAAUGAGCCUCUUAUACCAGAAAAAGACAAGGCCCUGCUCUGAGGAGUGAAGACACAAUCCAGCAGGCAGGAGGGAUGGCUAAGUUCAAAGUCUUGAGAAGUGCCCCUCAUGGACACCCCAGGGUGCCCAUCUCCAGGUUACCACCAGGUGCUUCCAAGACCAAGAUAACCAGGCAAUCAUAGUAGAUGCAUCAAUGCACCCUUGCCCAAGGGCCUAGACAAGAGGUAUUGUUUAGCUUCGCAUGAAUUUUAUCACCUUGCCUAGAACCAGCCACCAUCUGCCAGGGCUCCUGACUUUUUCUGAAAUGAAUAGACACUAAAGCCUGCUGGGGAAUUUCAUGGAAAUCAAGAUGACUCAACCCAGAGUCCAUUUCAAGGCUAGGAUGCUAGAGGACGCCAACAAAGGAGUAGGGAAGUGAAACGGAUCAGCUCACAUCCAAGCCCUUGCAUGAUCAAUCCUGCAGUAGGAGUGCUGCUCAGUUGGGACUCAUGAGAGCCCGGAAGAGGAAAAAGCAGCUCUAAGCAUAGCAAAGAAGCUGUUAUGGAAAAGACCCAAAUGUUAAAAUGGUGGACAUAGUAAAGUGAUUGGUUCUGCUUAGGGGAAUCUAGAUCCCCACAUUUUGACCUCCACUGGAGUCUCAGAAGAACAAGUGCCAGGGGGGCUUGCCACAGAGGCCAAGGCAGUGAAUGUCAGGCACAUCACAGUCCCCAAGAUGGGGAGAAGACUGAGAUGCAGGGUAACAACUGCAAUCCAUUCAUGGGAGCCAUGUUUAUCUUAAAUCAUUGACAGUGAGAUAAGGAUCAUGUCAGCCUUCAUACCUUUGAUGAUGAUCCCAGGCUGCAACAGUGACACAUAGAACUGGAUUCAGUAACUAACUACAGAUUCCAUCAACCAGGACUAGUAAAGUGAAAGGCAGAAAUUGGGAGGAGGGGUUUCUUUCUUGCUUAUAAAACUUUAUUUGGUUGUGUUGAGUAUGUGCAUGUAUGUAUGAAAUCCCAUAAAGCAGUCUUCUUAGGAACAAGCCAACAUGCCACAAUGUAGGAGAUCUUUGGAGCACUGGCCUAAAUGGCAGAGAGCUCAAGGGACUCUGCUUUGUACAAGGCAUGAUUUGUACCACCACCACUAUCCCUGUUUCAGAGCACUGUUGAAUUGUUCCAAACCUGGAUUUCUAUGUCAGCUCCCUGUCUAUAGUACUUGACUGAUAAAUGCUAGUUUCUGAAAUCUGCUUUGG